GCGUGCCGCGGGCGGAGCUCCGGGGCCGCGACGAUCGCUAGGGGCAGGCAGGGGGAAUUUCGCACUGUAAAGAUUUCAACGCAACUGUUAGGCAGGUCGAGAGGCGGAACCGCAUCAUCGCUGUGGUCGUACGUACCGGGGCCUGGUGGAGGAAGACGCCUUCCGGCACAACAUGGAUUGCCGCAACCCCCGCUCGUGAUUCGGUCGCCCGGUCGUCUGGAACAGGAACCCGGCACUGGUAAUGGUCGAUGGCAAUGGGGCACGCCGUCCUGCUCGUCUCGUCUGGAACAGGAGCCGGCACUGGUAGGUAGGUAGCGGUCGAUGGCAAUGGGGCACGCCGUCCUGCUGCCCUGGGCGAUACGCACGAGACGGAGUGAAUUACAAAAAAAAAGAAACACCCCAUUUGCAGUUCGUCGAGCAGAAUUGCCACAUUCUUUGUUCGUCUCAAAAAUCCACCACUUUUACGGUAAUUUUUUUCAAUAAACAC
This 487-nucleotide long non-coding RNA is filed under the name Hordeum vulgare. Its description in RNAcentral is "long non-coding RNA (HVUL_LNC003301)". Lineage: Eukaryota; Viridiplantae; Streptophyta; Magnoliopsida; Poales; Poaceae. The record is from RNAcentral.